GGACGAACGCUGGCGGCGUGCUUAACACAUGCAAGUCGAGCGGAAAGGCCCUUCGGGGUACUCGAGCGGCGAACGGGUGAGUAACACGUGAGUAACCUGCCCUGGACUUUGGGAUAACCCUCGGAAACGGGGGCUAAUACCGGAUACGACACAGCUUCACGCUUGUCUGUGUGGAAAGUUUUUCGGUCUGGGAUGGGCUCGCGGCCUAUCAGCUUGUUGGUGGGGUGAUGGCCUACCAAGGCGACGACGGGUAGCCGGCCUGAGAGGGCGACCGGCCACACUGGGACUGAGACACGGCCCAGACUCCUACGGGAGGCAGCAGUGGGGAAUAUUGCACAAUGGGCGGAAGCCUGAUGCAGCGACGCCGCGUGAGGGAUGACGGCCUUCGGGUUGUAAACCUCUUUCAGCAGGGACGAAGCGUAAGUGACGGUACCUGCAGAAGAAGCGCCGGCCAACUACGUGCCAGCAGCCGCGGUAAGACGUAGGGCGCGAGCGUUGUCCGGAUUUAUUGGGCGUAAAGAGCUCGUAGGCGGCUUGUCGCGUCGGCUGUGAAAUCCCGUGGCUCAACUGCGGGUCUGCAGCCGAUACGGGCAGGCUAGAGUUCGGUAGGGGAGACUGGAAUUCCUGGUGUAGCGGUGAAAUGCGCAGAUAUCAGGAGGAACACCGGUGGCGAAGGCGGGUCUCUGGGCCGAUACUGACGCUGAGGAGCGAAAGCGUGGGGAGCGAACAGGAUUAGAUACCCUGGUAGUCCACGCUGUAAACGUUGGGCGCUAGGUGUGGGGGACCUCUCCGGUUCUCUGUGCCGCAGCUAACG
Molecule: ribosomal RNA, 814 nt
Filed under: uncultured bacterium
Lineage: Bacteria
Description: bacterial SSU rRNA
Rfam family: Bacterial small subunit ribosomal RNA
Source: RNAcentral